Bombus impatiens (common eastern bumble bee) is the source of this 1182-nucleotide long non-coding RNA. RefSeq lists it as uncharacterized. NCBI's taxonomy places the organism in Eukaryota, Metazoa, Arthropoda, Insecta, Hymenoptera, Apidae. The record is from RefSeq and is a predicted model, not a curated record. The transcript is spliced from 4 exons.
UAAGCCGAUAUAUAAUAAUAAAACUAAUUAUAGUACAGAGUUUAAGACGUAGCGAUUCAGAAAACUUGAGAAAUAGAAGCAAUUAAAGAUAUUUGUUGAUAUCACCUGCUGUCGACAGUUCGAUAUUCUCAACAAUGGAAAAUUUACGAACGUAAAUCGGCUGCUCAGUUUUAUCGGCUCGGUAAAAAUUUGGCAGCUCCAAAUUUUGCUGACAGCGAUGAAAGCAACGAUAAAUAGACAACUCUGAUAAUUUGAACACCGAGAUACUAGGAAUUUUUUGGACGUAAAACUAGUUAGUUUCGGUCCUAUCCGUUUCCUCUGCCGAUUUACACUUCUUUUUAUGUCAUAGAAUAAUUUGUCGAGAUCUGGAACUGAUUUGUCUUUGCAUCGAGCCCUUCAACUGCCAUCGUACGUAAUACUCGAUGAAGCCGAAAGUAUUUUACGAGAAUGCAGGAGGCAAUUCGUUGGGCGAAUAUUUUACAAUUAUCUUUGUAUUGUCUUUGUAUUCUAUCGAUCGAGAAAAGUACAAACGAGAGAUUUUACCAACGAUGCCGUAUAUUUUAUGAAUGAAACGCUUGUUUCAGCUACGCGUAUGCUGUUUCAGAGAUCCAUCGUUCCACUCUUUUCGCAUCUGAGAGCAUUCCUUUGUAUUGUCGAAGCAAUUACUCUCUUGGAGUGAUUGAACGUUUCUGAAAAUUAUUUUGUCGAUACGAGCCUAAACGUAGCAGGCCCAUCAGCAAUUCUACGCAUCCAGCAAGAAAACAAAAGAGCACGAUAAAAUCCACUGGCAUGUUUCUUGUAUAUUCGAAGAUUCCCAUCGGAAUUGUAAUGACACGUAACCGAGAAAAAGGUAACAAAAGCGAGAAAUCAAAGUCGAACGAUUCGAGCGAGUGAAAACUGAGUAUCGACGAUAUGAAAACCUUAUAGAUCGGCGAUAACUAUCUUUUGCUUCUAAGAAUCUGAAGAUUGGAAUCACGACAGCCAUAGAAAAGUGCGAGAGAAAUGUUCGAAUACCUCGGUAUUGAUGGGCGAAUCAUCGUCGAUGGGACGAACAAGAUAAGAUGUAAAUAAUAGUAAACAACAAUAUAUUCAAGCAAUGGCGCGAUAUGAUAACUAGAUAGGGGUGAGAACGAAGAAAAUUUCUCGAUCGACCAAGUAAGGAGUAAAGAGUAAAAAUAUACC